Molecule: ribosomal RNA, 891 nt
Filed under: uncultured bacterium
Lineage: Bacteria
Description: bacterial SSU rRNA
Rfam family: Bacterial small subunit ribosomal RNA
Source: RNAcentral
AGUUUGAUCCUGGCUCAGGAUGAACGCUAGCUACAGGCUUAACACAUGCAAGUCGAGGGGCAGCGGGAUUGAAGCUUGCUUCAAUUGCCGGCGACCGGCGCACGGGUGAGUAACGCGUAUCCAACCUUCCGUACACUCAGGGAUAGCCUUUCGAAAGAAAGAUUAAUACCUGAUGGUAUGAUGAGAUUGCAUGAUAGCAUCAUUAAAGAUUUAUCGGUGUACGAUGGGGAUGCGUUCCAUUAGGUAGUUGGCGGGGUAACGGCCCACCAAGGCGACGAUCAGUAGCCGGACUGAGAGGUUGAACGGCCACAUUGGGACUGAGAUACGGCCCAGACUCCUACGGGAGGCAGCAGUGGGGAAUAUUGGGCAAUGGGCGCAAGCCUGACCCAGCAACGCCGCGUGAAGGAAGAAGGCUUUCGGGUUGUAAACUUCUUUUAAGAGGGAAGAGGAGAAGACGGUACCUCUAGAAUAAGCCACGGCUAACUACGUGCCAGCAGCCGCGGUAAUACGUAGGUGGCAAGCGUUGUCCGGAUUUACUGGGUGUAAAGGGCGUGCAGCCGGGUCUGCAAGUCAGAUGUGAAACCCAUGGGCUCAACCCAUGAACUGCAUUUGAAACUGUAGAUCUUGAGUGUCGGAGGGGCAAUCGGAAUUCCUAGUGUAGCGGUGAAAUGCGUAGAUAUUAGGAGGAACACCAGUGGCGAAGGCGGAUUGCUGGACGAUAACUGUCGGUGAGGCGCGAAAGUGUGGGGAGCAAACAGGAUUAGAUACCCUGGUAGUCCACACUGUAAACGAUGAAUACUAGGUGUGCGGGGACUGACCCCCUGCGUGCCGCAGUAAACACAAUAAGUAUUCCACCUGGGGAGUACGAUCGCAAGGUUGAAACUCAAAGGA